This is a long non-coding RNA of Bos taurus (domestic cattle), 2434 nucleotides long. The record is from Ensembl. Lineage: Eukaryota; Metazoa; Chordata; Mammalia; Artiodactyla; Bovidae.
GCCUUGUGCUGGAUUCUGUGGUUUGGGCGCACCAUGAAUGAAUGUGGGCCCCUUCGUAUGGAACACACAGAUUAGUAGCUGGUGUACCCAGUGUGCUUGAAGAAUCUGAAGUUGAUAACAUACACAAUAAACAGUGUUUGAGAAAGAUUAUUCCAGCAGGGUGUGUAGGAGGAAGGAAAAACCUGGGUCAGAAAGGACAGUGUGGCAGUGACUGUGGGAAUUUGGGCCAAAGGUGGAAUCUAUGGUAUUGGAAAGGAAGGCGUGAGGAAAGUAACAAUACACCUUGUAAUAAAAGCAGGAGUGGGAAGAAUUUGGUAAUAGAUGGUGAAGGAGAGAAAACAGUUAAGAAAUUUUUAAGUUAAUUUUUUUUUAGAUUUUUAUUUUUGCCUGCACUGGGUCUUCAUUGCUGAACACAGGCUUUCUCGAGAUGCAGCCAGUGGGGGCUGCUCUCUAGUUGCAGUGCACGGGUUUCUCAUUGCAGUGGCUUCUCUUGCUAUAGAGCACAUGGGCUCUGGGUGCACGGGCUUUAGUAGUUGUGGCUCAAGGGCUCUUAAGUGUGGGGUCAGCAGUUGUGGUACACAGACUUUGUUGCUCCAUUGCAUGUGGGAUCUUUCCAGACCAGGGAUCGAACUGGCAUCCCUUGGAUUGCAAGACAGAUUCGUAACCAGGUCCAUCAGGGAAGGCCCAAGAGUUAAGAAUUAAUCCUCCUUCAUGGUGAGUUUGGGCAGUAGGAAGGUUACUGCAGGCAAGGAGGAGGAGCUGGUGUGAGGGACCUGAGGGUGAGUUCCGUCCCUCCUGGGCCAUGUGAGGGCAGGUAUCCUCUAGGCGAUUGGACUUGGACACAGGGACAUCCUAAAGAGUUGUGGCUGCCUCGUAAAAGAGUGUCCUCGUCACUGUGGGUAUGCAAACAGCUUCAGAACAUUGGCCUGGGAUACUGUGGAAAGAUUUUAUCCAUCAGGUAGAAGGCUGGAGUCGACACAGUGAAAGUGGCUCCUGACUGAGGGAUUUGGUGAGCGUUGGCUGGGUAAGCACAUGUGUGGGAAGGACGCCUGUAUGUGUGGGAAGAUGGUUGGCACCCAUCGUCUCAACUUUGGCUACAAAAGGUGCCCGAGAUGCCUGGGAAGUGGGGGUUGAGGCCCAGGUGAGGCAUGUCAGCAGCCUAGGAUCCUGCCCCACCCACCCCCCGCCCCACCUUGGAAGGCCCUGGAGCCCAGGACUGUGCUGACUGCCAGGGCAUUUCCUGGAACUUGGCAGAGGAUGGAGCCCCUCCCUGCCUGCCCUGGCACACUCCAGGUACACUGUGUCCCGGGAUGUGGGGUGGGGGUGGGGGGUGGAAACCUUGCAGACACCCCAGGAGACUGGGGUGUAGGAAAGGUCCCCACCCCCCAGGAAGAGUCCUGGUUUGGGCAGACAUCUGAGCUCCCGCCCUGCGGCUGUCAUCCUCACAAUGGCCCCACCAGACCCGAGGGGACAGAGGCCCAGAGGAGGAAGGAGAAGCCUUGUGGCUGGGUGGCAGGAUUCGGAAAUUCCUCGCCUCUGGACCGCACCCGCCCUUGAACACCUCCCGGUCUCUUUGGGCAGAGCGCAAGCCAGACAGAGCUGGGGACAGUGAAGUGGCCAUCCUCAGCCCUGUGUGUGCCAGGAGCCCCCCUCCCGGGGGGUGGGGGGCGGGUGGCCCCGCUGCAGGAGGGCAGGGGCGGCAGAGGGAGCCUGGCGUGGGCGGCUGGGACAGAGUCCUUUUUGAAGGAGGUGGGGACCCCGUGAAGUACGUGACUUCUGACCCUUCAGCCUGCACGCUCCAGUUAGCAGGACAGAGACCCCUCCCCAUGCAUCCCCAGCCUUCCCGGGCUUUCUGCCCUGCGGGGAGGCCCUGUCACCCCGCCCCCCACAACACCCCCCCAGGCAUCCUUGAGAGGACCAGCUGGAACUGGGGGCUGGGAGCAGGCAGAGUCCUGCCAGGGGUCUCAGACCCCUAGCCUGUCUCCCCCUACCCCUCCCUCGACACAACUGCUGGUUUAAAGCAAAACCUGAUUCCGUCCUUUCUGCUGCUCGGUGGUGCUGGCACUGCUGCCUGGGGUUAUUUUUAGCAGGGAUGCGGGAACGCACAUUUCUCCCGGACUUUCACUGGGGACACCCCCACCCCGCCAGCCAAGACUCCCCCUGGGGAGGCUGUUUCGGAAACCCCCCCUCCCAGAAAGGGGAAACGGGUGUGCUUUCUGUUCCUCCAACUCACCAGAACAGGAGUUGCGGUCAAGCCUGGGGCUACCCUGGUGGGAAAUUCUAGGUUCCAAAGCCUUCAUCCCUGGUCUCUGUGUUCCCUUAAAUCUGGGGGGCCUGAUGCUCAGUGUGUGGGAGUUGGGGUCCAAGGAGAGCCAGCACUAUGGACUCCAUGGGGGCACCAGUUAUUCUGGGUGGUGUUUAUGUGGAUACUUGC